GCGGGUGUGCGAGGCGCGGGCUGUUGUGCUCCGGCGCUCCUCUUUCCCCUCCUCGGCGGGCGGAGGAGGCCGCAGCGGUGCUGGGAGCGCUCCACCUUCUUCUCUCCGCCAACCUGCGCCGGCCCUCUCGCGCUGCGCGGUCUCGCAGACCAGGACUGUCCCGGUCCCGAUAUGGCUCGUGGACAGCAGAAGAUUCAGUCUCAGCAGAAAAAUGCCAAGAAGCAAGCUGGACAAAAGAAGAAACAAGGACAUGACCAAAAGGCUGCUGCCAAAGCUGCCUUAAUAUAUACCUGCACUGUCUGCAGGACACAAAUGCCAGACCCUAAGACCUUCAAGCAGCACUUUGAGAGCAAACAUCCUAAGACUCCACUUCCUCCAGAAUUGGCUGACGUUCAGGCAUAAAGUUGUUUACAGGCGAAUUUGUGACACCUCUGACUCUUCUGCUGUCUCAGACCCUAGGUAACAAACCUGCAGCUGCUUUUCUAACAAACUGUUGAUCAGCAAAAAUACAGGGGCUACAAAAACACUCAUUUUUAUGCUGUUCCCUUUUGAGCUUCAUGCAAAGACAAUUCUGUGUAAAUGUACAGUUGACUCUGAUUUGGAAAUCUGGAAAUCAGUCCAUCCUUGUUAUAAAAAUUUUUUUACAAUUGUAAUUAUAUUGAUGUUCAUAUUGUGUAAAAUAACUCAUUUAAUAAAGUAGUACUUUGAUUUUACAACAUCACAGGACAAAUGGUUCUAGAAAUUCUGUUCUAAGUUUCCACAUUAUUUGCCUUAUACAAAUCUUAUGAAUUCACUAGAUAGAAUUGCAAAUGCAGUUCUUAAUCUCUUUCUCGGCUCAAUGGCAGGUUCGUUAAACUAGACUCAUUCAUUAAAAUUGUGCACACAGUUUUAUUGGCAGCUGAUUUAGGUGAAGAAUGACUGAUCUGCUGCCAUCAUGCAUUGCAAUUAUAUGUCAUUGCCCUCCUCUGAUUAUUUCCUGUGUUUGAAGUUGGAAUGUUUAAACAUGAUGUAUGACCUAUUAGUUGCCAGCCAGUAUGCCCUGUAAAUAUCUAAUAAAUUCCUAAAACCA
Long non-coding RNA from Lepus europaeus (European hare), 1069 nucleotides. RefSeq lists it as uncharacterized. The record is from RefSeq and is a predicted model, not a curated record. The transcript is spliced from 4 exons. NCBI's taxonomy places the organism in Eukaryota, Metazoa, Chordata, Mammalia, Lagomorpha, Leporidae.